Molecule: ribosomal RNA, 542 nt
Filed under: uncultured Glomeromycotina
Lineage: Eukaryota; Fungi; Glomeromycota
Description: SSU rRNA
Rfam family: Eukaryotic small subunit ribosomal RNA
Source: RNAcentral
GCAAGUCUGGUGCCAGCAGCCGCGGUAAUUCCAGCUCCAAUAGCGUAUAUUAAAGUUGUCGCAGUUAAAAAGCUCGUAGUUGAACCUCGGGAUCAAUGGAUCGGUCAUGCCAUCGGUAUGUACUGGUCUCAUUGGUUCUCACCUUCUAAGGAACCAUGAUGUCAUUCAGUUGAUGUUGUGGGGAAUUAGGACUGUUACCUUGAAAAAAUUAGAGUGUUUAAAGCAGGCUAACGCUUGAAUACAUUAGCAUGGAAUAAUGAAAUAGGACAUCGCAUUCUAUUUUGUUGGUUUCUAGGAUCGAUGUAAUGAUUAAUAGGGAUAGUUGGGGGCAUUAGUAUUCAAUUGUCAGAGGUGAAAUUCUUGGAUUUAUUGAAGACUAACUACUGCGAAAGCAUUUGCCAGGGAUGUUUUCAUUAAUCAAGAACGAAAGUUAGGGGAUCGAAGACGAUCAGAUACCGUCGCAGCCUUAACCAUAAACUAUGCCGACUAGGGAUCGGAUGAUGUUGAUUUUUUAAUGACUCAUUCGGCGCCUUACGGGAAAC